This 468-nucleotide ribosomal RNA is filed under the name uncultured bacterium. Its description in RNAcentral is "partial 16S ribosomal RNA". It matches the Rfam family "Bacterial small subunit ribosomal RNA", at positions 28 to 507 of the family's 1533-position model. The record is from RNAcentral.
GACGAACGCUGGCGGCGUGCUUAACACAUGCAAGUCGAACGGAAAGGCCCUGCUUUUGUGGGGUGCUCGAGUGGCGAACGGGUGAGUAACACGUGAGUAACCUGCCCUUGACUUUGGGAUAACUUCAGGAAACUGUGGCUAAUACCGGAUAGGAGCUCCUGCUGCAUGGUGGGGGUUGGAAAGUUUCGGCGGUUGGGGAUGGACUCGCGGCUUAUCAGCUUGUUGGUGGGGUAGUGGCUUACCAAGGCUUUGACGGGUAGCCGGCCUGAGAGGGUGACCGGCAACAUUGGGACUGAGAUACGGCCCAGACUCCUACGGGAGGCAGCAGUGGGGAAUAUUGCACAAUGGGCGGAAGCCUGAUGCAGCAACGCCGCGUGCGGGAUGACGGCCUUCGGGUUGUAAACCGCUUUCGCCUGUGACGAAGCGUGAGUGACGGUAAUGGGUAAAGAAGCACCGGCUAACUACGUG